AUGGUGUUCUGGCGUGUGUGGCAUGUGCAUAAUGAACUGGCCCAUGAUAAGCCAAUGAUUCCAAUUGAAGCAUCUAAACGAUUUUUGUGUGGAUACAUGGACUAUCUGCUCAUGAUCAAGCACUACCCGCAGGCGGACAUUACCAAUGGAAAAUUCCCGGCUGACCUGAGUGGAUGUAUCACAAUGAGUACUCAUAUGCCAACUCGUUUACUCCCUGUGAUGUCAAAUAGGAGCUCCCUCCAGCGGGACAUAUGGUUGUUCAACUGUCAUGGACCUCUGGAAGCUGAGCUAGCGGCGUGCGAGAAGGGGCUUAGAGUAGCCCUGCACUGGUCCCAAGCGCCGCUACUGGUGGAGACUGAUUGUGCUGAGAUCGUUGCAUUGAUCAAUGCUGGGACAGCUGGCCGGUCAAGGAACAUGCACCAAGCCACCGAAAUCAUCGAGCUGAUCAAGGAACGGCAAGCUCGAUUUCGAAAGAUUAGCCGUGUGCAGAACAAAGCUGAGCAUGUCAUGGCAGCAAUUGGACGCGGACAACAGCGAACAGUAACGGAGAUUAGCAUUAUCCUUGUGGAUGAAUGUAGAGCUGUUAACACUUGA
This 594-nucleotide ribosomal RNA is filed under the name Triticum aestivum (bread wheat). Its description in RNAcentral is "partial small subunit ribosomal RNA". The record is from RNAcentral. Lineage: Eukaryota; Viridiplantae; Streptophyta; Magnoliopsida; Poales; Poaceae.